AGAGGGACAGCUAGGUCAAAUGGUGGUUCCAUUCCCAGAUUUCCAAGGAAUCUCCAUACUGCUUUCCAUAUUGGCUGCACCAAUUUGCAGUCCCACCAGCAGU
This 103-nucleotide microRNA precursor is filed under the name Marmota monax (woodchuck). Lineage: Eukaryota; Metazoa; Chordata; Mammalia; Rodentia; Sciuridae. The record is from RNAcentral.